CGCCCUCUGCAAGUGUGAAGCGACGGAGGACCAGAAGUAGUGCUCGGAGUAAGAAUAAGCCUCCACCGUGACAGAGCUGGACACCAGUGAAUGCCAAUAUCAACCUACAAGGUUAGCAGUGAUAAAUACAGGAAAUGACCUCACCCAAACUGCAGAGGUGGAAGAAGUACUCAGAUCUUGUACUCAAGUAAAAAGGAGGUGAAGCAGGAGCAGGUCUCACGUUGGCAGGCGUGUGUGUCCCCCUCCUCUGCAGGGCUCCAGGGACGGUCGUUGUAGAGGUCAUCACAGCGCUCACAGUUCACACCUGCUGUGUGAUGCUGGCAGUCACACUGAGGAUUCACCUGCAGAGAAACACAGAGAAAGGAUCACUGCAGCAAAUCAAAUAAUAAUAAACAAAUACGGUUCUGAGACAUUUGGGGUCGAAGCUGGGUUUAGCAUAGUUCACUGAACAAUCUGAAACGUUGACUUUAACUAAAUGUAUCAUGUCAACAGAUUUCACAUAACUAUUAGGUUAGUUGAAAGCAAUAAUAUUAAGGUUAAGUAAAAACAUUAAGUGCAACUUAUUAUUUUUGCACUCAACUAACCUAAUACAGUUAUGUGAAAUCUGACAUAAUACAUUCAAUUAAAGUCAACGUUUCACUUUUUGUGAAAUAAACCAAAAGCAGGAAUAAGCUGUAAGAAAAACAUUUGCCUACCAGCAACUCCAUAAACCCCCCCUUCCUCAAACCCCCCCACACACCUGUAUGCCGCUGGCCUGCGGGCUGCUGUAGGCCUCUGGCAGGCACCGGUUGGCGUGUCCGUGGCACAUGCAUCUGCCCACCACCUUCAUCUCCUUCAGGGCGUAGAACCUGCUGAGCGCUCUGCCUGGCACCCGGGGGACAUCGCCCAGCUCUGUGAGCCUCACCCUCAGCCCCGUCACCCCCGACACAUCUGAGGGGGAGAGAGCAGGUCAGCAGCGUACCCUGUGACCCAGUGAACUCAUUCAUGACAGACAAUUGAGAGACUCACCUUCAAUCUUUUGGCUUUUGGAAGCUGGAACAUAGGCAUACUGACGCAAAGGACUGUAUUGGAUCUGGAAAAGAGACAUUUAAAUGUCAUUUUAAUUUAUAUAACAUCAUUGUUUUCCUUCAGUGUGAUUUGCUCUUAUUUCACAACACAAUGUUUUUUUCUUUCUUUGUGAAUGCAUUCCUGCCCAGGCUUUAACAGGUUGGAACUGCGUGUAUACUUGUCUAAACAUCACAUUUAUCAUGAGUUAACGCUAAAUCAAUUACACAUUUUUUCCAAAAUUACACAAAACUGCAGGAAUUAAAUCUAGUUUGUAAAGGUGUUUAUUUUUAAUAAUACAGUUAAUUUAACCCUUCAAAUCACACACAAAUCACAAAGUGUUUAUUGCCUUAAAACCUACCUAGAUAUUUUCUAAAGAGAGCAAAACACCUUACACUGAAUUUGGCCAAAUUGUUUGCCCACAAGCAGCACAAAAAGAAGACACUGAAACAAGGUCUUCUUAUGCUGAGGACAUCACAGUUCUUCAAUUUAAUAACAAUACACAUUUAAACAAUGUUAGAUCUUAUUUUAAAAUCUGACAGAAACGAAACAUUUAGAGAAAUGAGCCUUGAAAAAGGUAAAGCCUUACGGUGUGAUCUUGGUAUGGGCUUGCUCCAGUAGGGGGCAGUGUGUAGCAGUAUGUGUGUUCCAGAGUCAGAGGAGUUGCUGUGGGGAUGCCAGGAAAAGAUUUUGCACAGUCUGUAGCCAGGUACAGGGCGGGCUGCCACCCCUUGCCGUCAUCCAGAGUCCUCUCUAUAACUAAGGCAUUGGGACGAGGACUCUGCGGAGAAAUACAAGUGCUCUGUGAUGCAAAGAUACAAUACCAUCCUAAAGAAGAUUUAAACAUCCAUCAAACAACAGAAGUGAGUGUGUUUCUUUGUGUUGGUGUGAUCCAGCAUACCUUAAAGCUGAGCUGCAGGUUGUCCAGCUGGAACAGAUUGCCCAGGUCCAACUGGAGGGUCACCGGGGUCACCUCUACAGGAAACACAGCAGCACACAUGUUCACAGAGAAAUACUUUAAUACUCAAAUACAUGUUUCAGAUAGAUUUCAUGACGUUUGGUUUCCAACAGCCAAGGACAGCACUAUUUUUCUUUCUUUAUCUCUUUCUUUCUUUCUGUGCCCACCUUUCUUGGACUGCCACCAUCUCUGCGGUCCGGCGGUGGACAGGACGUCCCGGACCGUGUGGGCCAGCCGAGCGUUUGGGUUGGUGGAGUCACAUGGACAACACUUCAUCCUCCUCUAAGAAUCACAAAACAAACAAACAUCAGUAUCAACGCGCUUUCCCACAGAACUGCAUUGUAAUAUGUGUGUAUGUCCAGUGUCAUUAGGGGCAGGCACAGCCCCACCUAGUGUCAGCAGAAAGUAAUGCAAAUAAUAAUUCCCAAAAUAUGCAAAAAAUAUAUGUUAAAAUAUAUUCUAAGAUCAUGUUUAGUCAUCUG
Molecule: long non-coding RNA, 2484 nt
Organism: Gymnodraco acuticeps
Lineage: Eukaryota; Metazoa; Chordata; Actinopteri; Perciformes; Bathydraconidae
Exons: 3
Source: RefSeq, a predicted model, not a curated record